UACGUAGGGAGCGAGCGUUUGUCCGGAUUCAUUGGGCGUAAAGAGCUCGUAGGCGGCUUGGUAAGUCGGAUGUGAAACCUCCAGGCUCAACCUGGAAUCGCCAUCCGAUACUGCCAUGGCUAGAGUCCGGUAGGGGCCCACGGAACUCCUGGUGUAGCGGUGAAAUGCGCAGAUAUCAGGAAGAACACCGGUGGCGAAGGCGGUGGGCUGGGCCGGCACUGACGCUGGAGGAGCGAAAGCGUGGGGAGCGAACAGG
RNAcentral lists this ribosomal RNA (256 nucleotides) under uncultured bacterium. RNAcentral's name for it is "partial 16S ribosomal RNA". It matches the Rfam family "Bacterial small subunit ribosomal RNA", at positions 524 to 776 of the family's 1533-position model. The record is from RNAcentral.